CUGGCAAGCAGUGUUGAAUGCAUCAUGGGGCUAGAUGUCACUGGGAGGGCAGGCACACCUGGAGUCAACGUUGGCCUUGUGGGGGAUGAGCAUAGGGGCCACGGGCCUGAGGCGAAGCACCUCUCGGAUGGUGGCCUCCAGCAGGAGGAGACGGUUACGGUCACUGAUAGUUGGUGUGCGGCUGAAACCCACAUUCUGGUCAAUCUCCUCGUAGAGCUUCUUCUUCACCUGAAGACCAGAGUAGGUUGGAGGUGACUAGUGUGUGUAAGCCCAGGAGAAGCAAGGGCUUAGAGAAGAAUCCAACUGUGACAUCGAGAAGAGCCUGUCCAGUCCCUUCCCAGUAGUGGCUCUGGGGCCCAGGCCCGGCUUCCAGAAGAUGGGGCAGCUCUACUCUGGGGUCAAAGCCAACUACUGCUUGGCUGCCAGAGUCUCUCCUGGAGGCGGAUCUUAGCUUUCUGUCUCUGGAAGUUCCUACUCCACCCCUGACCUUCAGCCAGAAUGGAAGGCAAGAUGGGGACACAGAACGGGUUUAUCAUGACGACGAAGACAAUUCUAAACAAGGGAGGAGGGCGUGGUCUCCACCUCUCCUUCCCCAUUCAAUCAAACAUCAAGCGCUGACUCUGCUAUGUGUCCAGCCCUUAGGAGUGAGAGAGACAUGAGCCUGAAGGCUCAGACAAGCUCCUUAACCCCGCUAAGCCUGCUUCUCACCUGCACAAUGGGGAUAAUAAAACCUACUUCCAAG
RNAcentral lists this long non-coding RNA (742 nucleotides) under Homo sapiens (human). RNAcentral describes it as "long non-coding RNA NONHSAT016148.2". The record is from RNAcentral. Lineage: Eukaryota; Metazoa; Chordata; Mammalia; Primates; Hominidae.